AAGACUUUAAGUUAAAUAAACUAGUAUCCUUCAAAGUUACCAAAAAAAGAACUCUUUUAGGUCUUA
This 66-nucleotide transfer RNA is filed under the name Cambaroides similis. RNAcentral's name for it is "tRNA-Trp". The record is from RNAcentral. Lineage: Eukaryota; Metazoa; Arthropoda; Malacostraca; Decapoda; Cambaridae.